This 449-nucleotide ribosomal RNA is filed under the name uncultured bacterium. RNAcentral's name for it is "partial 16S ribosomal RNA". It matches the Rfam family "Bacterial small subunit ribosomal RNA", at positions 29 to 523 of the family's 1533-position model. The record is from RNAcentral.
AACGAACGCUGGCGGCAUGCCUAACACAUGCGAGUCGAACGAGAUCUUCGGGUCUAGUGGCGCACGGGUGCGUAACGCGUGGGAAUCUGCCCUUUGGUUCGGAAUAACAGUUGGAAACGACUGCUAAUACCGGAUGAUGACGAAAGUCCAAAGAUUUAUCGCCAGAGGAUGAGCCCGCGUAGGAUUAGCUAGUUGGUGUGGUAAAGGCGCACCAAGGCGACGAUCCUUAGCUGGUCUGAGAGGAUAAUCAGCCACACUGGGACUGAGACACGGCCCAGACUCCUACGGGAGGCAGCAGUGGGGAAUAUUGGACAAUGGGCGAAAGCCUGAUCCAGCAAUGCCGCGUGAGUGAUGAAGACCUUAGGGUUGUAAAGCUCUUUUACCCGGGAUGAUAAUGACAGUACCGGGAGAAUAAGCUCCGGCUAACUCCGUGCCAGCCGCCGCAGUAA